Vicugna pacos (alpaca) is the source of this 2027-nucleotide non-coding RNA. NCBI's taxonomy places the organism in Eukaryota, Metazoa, Chordata, Mammalia, Artiodactyla, Camelidae. The record is from RefSeq and is a predicted model, not a curated record.
CUGCGUUGUGGAAUUUUCCACUCAUUUAUUCUUUCCUUUUCCAUCUUCUUUGCCUUCAAGUGUCAAUUGACUCCUCUCAGUCACAGCUGUACAAAUCACAGGAUUUUUUUUUUUAACUGGCGUAAGACUUACACAUUAUUCAUCCAUUCAGUUUCAUCUGAAGGAAAUCCAACAAAGACACAAUUUUCUUUUCCGACGACAUAUUUAAAGCUGCUUUUUCCCCAGGAGACACCGGGCCGAAGACUCCCUGCAUGAUCUAUGUUACUGCAAGAUAUUGAAUAUGGUUCCCUGUGCUGUACAGAAGAAACUUGCUGUUUACCUGUUUUAUAUAUGGCACUUAGUAUCUGCAAAUCUUGAACUCCCAGUUUAUCCCUUCCCACCCCCGCUUCCCCACUGGUAGCCAUACACUCGUUUGUUAUUUUUUAAACUAAAUAAUUCCUAUUCAUAAGAAUUGGCCGCCUUUGCCCUCUGGAAUGCCAUGAAGAGGUUAAGAAGCCUGUGGCUAGUUUAGACUUGAUCUGUCUUAGAGCUCAGGCCUCUCCUUGUGCCUGAAGGGUCCACGCAAGUCAAUCCAACAAAAAUGUAUCCAGCUGAGCGGCUUCCCAGAGCUGCUGCGUCAACAGACUGUACCAGGAGGCUGUGGAAACACCUCCUGGCCCGUGAACGCUUAGUCUCACCCACCAGUUAGUUAUCACGGUUCAUGCUGGACAUCUAAACAGUGCCGCCAGGAAUCGGCUGGACUGCGUGUUCCUAACCUUCCUCUUCACGUGACUGGUUAUAUGUGGUAAGAGUUAUCAGCUGCAAAAACAAAUACGUCCAAUGCUACAAUAACAAGCAGUCUGCUGACCAAAAACCAACUACUCGCUGCUGGUAAGUCGAUUGCCAGACUCAAGAUAACAAACUUGGUUCUGGGGGCAGAGGGGGUCCAUGGGAUGAUUUUUGAGGUCAGGGAUAAUGGAACCCGGGUUUAAGAUGAGAACUCAACCUGGAGGCUGGAUGGAAACACACUGGAGAGGACGGAGGCGGGCUGGAAUCAGGAGACGAAGAGGAAGUUACUGGAAUAGCUGACUCGGCACAAGCCAAGGCAAUGACGACGGGCAAGGAAAUCAAACAGAUGACGGAGUGAAAAUGGACCAAAUGACGCAACAGAUCUGAAGCAGAUUAAUGAGGAAAACGACCACGUAAAGACAGUUAAGAAGACAUUAAAGUUUCUAGCCUGGAUUGAGUUGGAGGUGAUGCCAUUAAUAUAACCAAGGAACCUAAUGGAAAGGUUUGGGGGAUGGACAAGAUAGUGAGUUCAGUUUUAGGUAUGGCAGUUUUAAAGAGCCUGGGGGACCUCUGUGGGGAAUAUUCUAGCAGGCCAUGAAGGUCUGCCAGGGCUAGAAAAGUACUCAACAGUAUAGACUUUGGUUAAACCCUGCUUCUGCCACUUAGGUUGAGUGGUCUUGGAUAAGAUGCUUAUAAACUCCUGAGCCUCUCAUUUCUUUAUCUGAAAAAUGAAGAUAUUAAUUCCCUGAUAGGACGGUCGUGGAUAUUAAAGAUGAAUCAUGUAGGGACAGUGCUUAAUAGUGUCUGAAACAUAGUAGGAACUCAAAAAAAAAGUGUCUACCCUGGAACCCCUGCAGUAAUCUCUUCCUAUUCUCUCUGUUUCAUCCUUUCCCUCCCUCAGUUCACCUCUGCAUCAAUCAGAGAGAUCUUAUUGUCACAAAGAUGAGAAUCCCAUCCCCCUUCUGCCUAAAAACCUCUAAGGACUCAGCAUCCCUCUCCUUGAACAUGACACUCUUGUUCUAGCCUCAGGGCCUUUGCACUUGCUGUUCCCUCUGCCCGGAAUGCUCUUCCCCAGAUUUCUCAAAGUUGGCUCUUUUGCAUCCUUCCACUAUUAGCCCACACAAUACCAUCUCAGGGAAGCCUUCUCAUGACCCCUUCUUCAUCCACCCCAAGCACUCUCCAUAUUGUUACUUUGUUGUUGUUGUUUUGGUCUUUGGACAAUUGGCAUUUGAAAUGAAAACUUCAUGUAUAUGUUUACA